UACGUAGGGGGCUAGCGUUGUCCGGAAUCAUUGGGCGUAAAGAGCGUGUAGGCGGUCCGGUAAGUCCGCUGUGAAAGUCGGGGGCUCAACCCUCGAAUGCCGGUGGAUACUGUCGGGCUAGAGUGCGGAAGAGGCGAGUGGAAUUCCUGGUGUAGCGGUGAAAUGCGUUGAUAUCAGGAGGAACACCCAUGGCGAAGGCAGCAAACUGGGCAUUAUCUGACGCUGAGGCGCGAAAGCGUGGGUAGCAAACAGG
RNAcentral lists this ribosomal RNA (253 nucleotides) under uncultured bacterium. Its description in RNAcentral is "partial 16S ribosomal RNA". It matches the Rfam family "Bacterial small subunit ribosomal RNA", at positions 524 to 776 of the family's 1533-position model. The record is from RNAcentral.